This 444-nucleotide ribosomal RNA is filed under the name uncultured Sphingobacteriales bacterium. Its description in RNAcentral is "bacterial SSU rRNA". It matches the Rfam family "Bacterial small subunit ribosomal RNA", at positions 938 to 1382 of the family's 1533-position model. Lineage: Bacteria; Pseudomonadati; Bacteroidota; Sphingobacteriia; Sphingobacteriales. The record is from RNAcentral.
CAUGUGGUUUAAUUCGAUGAUACGCGAGGAACCUUACCUGGGCUCGAACGUAAGAUGACUGUAGGUGAAAGCUUACAUCUCUUCGGAGCAUUUUACGAGGUGCUGCAUGGUUGUCGUCAGCUCGUGCCGUGAGGUGUCGGGUUAAGUCCCAUAACGAGCGCAACCCCUACCUUUAGUUGCCAUCAGGUAAUGCUGGGGACUCUAAAGGAACUGCCUACGCAAGUAGUGAGGAAGGCGGGGAUGACGUCAAAUCAGCACGGCCCUUACGUCCAGGGCUACACACGUGCUACAAUGGCCGAUACAGAGGGCAGCUACCUGGUGACAGGAUGCAAAUCUCCAAAGUCGGUCUCAGUUCGGAUCGGAGUCUGCAACCCGACUCCGUGAAGUUGGAUUCGCUAGUAAUCGCGCAUCAGCCAUGGCGCGGUGAAUACGUUCCCGGGCCUU